RNAcentral lists this ribosomal RNA (301 nucleotides) under uncultured bacterium. RNAcentral's name for it is "partial 16S ribosomal RNA". It matches the Rfam family "Bacterial small subunit ribosomal RNA", at positions 509 to 808 of the family's 1533-position model. The record is from RNAcentral.
CAGCCGCCGCGGUAAUACGUAGGUCCCGAGCGUUGUCCGGAUUUAUUGGGCGUAAAGCGAGCGCAGGCGGUUAGAUAAGUCUGAAGUUAAAGGCUGUGGCUUAACCAUAGUACGCUUUGGAAACUGUUUAACUUGAGUGCAAGAGGGGAGAGUGGAAUUCCAUGUGUAGCGGUGAAACGCGUAGAUAUAUGGAGGAACACCGGUGGCGAAAGCGGCUCUCUGGCUUGUAACUGACGCUGAGGCUCGAAAGCGUGGGGAGCAAACAGGAUUAGAUACCCGCGUAGUCCCUGUCUCUUAUACC